Molecule: long non-coding RNA, 765 nt
Filed under: Homo sapiens (human)
Lineage: Eukaryota; Metazoa; Chordata; Mammalia; Primates; Hominidae
Description: non-protein coding lnc-BCL11A-18:3
Source: RNAcentral
GGCAUUGCUUACAGGGGUCACAGACAUUCAGAUCAUGGCAGAACUGUCACAGAUGUUACUUUGUGAAAACACAAAGAAUAAUGUGUUUGGAGAGAUCAGUCUUCAAUUAGCUAUAUUUUCUAGGAGCCUACCUUUACUUAGCCUCACAACAUGGGCCUUAGCUUUAGCACUUAAUCUGCACAAAUACCUGGCUUAAGUGUUAUGACUGACUGGCUAUUCAACCAAACCAUACAAAUGACCAAUUCGGUAAGAAAGCAUGAACUUCAGUGUUGAACCAAAUCAACCAACCUCCUCAAUCCAAAUGAACAAUGCUAUUCUAGGAGUCUGUGCUAGAAUAAAAUCCUAAUGCAAAGGCUGUCUUAAAAUGCUGAACCCAGAAGAAUUUGGCAUAAAUAAGACAUGGAGUUAGCUGACAUGAGAUAUUACAUUUAUUCCACUGUUGACGAGGACAAAACUGGGCCGCUAUUGUCACAGGCUUGCAGAGCUCAAACCAUUACACCAUUCAGAAGCUGGCUUUGGUAUUACUUCAAGUUAUUCAAAACAGUCACCACUUGCUGAGCCUCUGAUGUCUCAUCUGUUGAAUGGAUUUCAAGAGAGAAGGCUGAAAAGGAAGGUGACUGGAAUAUUAAGAACUGUGAGAUAUUCUGAGGAAACUCUAAUUUGUAAAUUGGUAGAAAUGCCAGUAAUUUGUUGGGAAUUGAAGACCCUCUGUAUUCAAGAGCGAAGCUUGGCAGCUGUGCACUGUUGUUUUAUAAAUCAAUAUUA